CUGACAUGAGCCGGGACAGUCCCAAUCCUUCAGAAAAGCUCUACAGCAGUUCCAAAUCCUUAUGGGCCUGUGCGCAGGCUGCUUCUGUAAAGAACACAACCAUCCCUUUAACAACCUGUGCUUUGGAAGAGACUGCAGAACCGUCUUCACUAAGUCUCCUGGAUGCCCAUUGUCCCAGCAAGGAUAUGUGUGCGACCUACAUUGUGCUUCUGUGAUCCACAUCAUGCAAAGAACCAGGAACCUUGCAAGGUUCUCGUGGGACCGUGCGAGUGAAAGUGUCUUGGAGACUGUCACAGGCCAUACCAAGCCCUUGCAGCUUCCACUUUCGCCCUCUGGAACUGCUGCCCUGGGGCCACCAUGUGAGGAAGCUGCUAGCCUGCUGGAAUAGGGGAGGCCACAUGGAGGAGAAGUGAGAUCCCCAACUUGACCGCCAGCACCAGCUGCCAGACUGUCAGAGAGGCCAUCCUGAGAUGACCUUCUAGCCCAGAUUCUGUGGAUCCGGAAUUUGGACAGAGAACAGAGAGGAUGACUUAUGUCUGCGCUACAACGUCUGGGGCCUCAAUAGAAAAGACUCAAAGGCUGGGGUGACUCGACAGCUAGGGUUUAGAAUCAUGUGAAUGCUUGUUCA
RNAcentral lists this long non-coding RNA (628 nucleotides) under Equus asinus (donkey). RNAcentral describes it as "lncRNA (ENSEASG00005026813.1)". Lineage: Eukaryota; Metazoa; Chordata; Mammalia; Perissodactyla; Equidae. The record is from RNAcentral.